Molecule: ribosomal RNA, 241 nt
Filed under: uncultured Staphylococcus sp.
Lineage: Bacteria; Bacillati; Bacillota; Bacilli; Caryophanales; Staphylococcaceae
Description: partial 16S ribosomal RNA
Rfam family: Bacterial small subunit ribosomal RNA
Source: RNAcentral
CGGACGGGUGAGUAACACGUGGAUAACCUACCUAUAAGACUGGGAUAACUUCGGGAAACCGGAGCUAAUACCGGAUAAUAUAUUGAACCGCAUGGUUCAAUAGUGAAAGACGGUUUUGCUGUCACUUAUAGAUGGAUCCGCGCCGCAUUAGCUAGUUGGUAAGGUAACGGCUUACCAAGGCAACGAUGCGUAGCCGACCUGAGAGGGUGAUCGGCCACACUGGAACUGAGACACGAUCCAG